RNAcentral lists this non-coding RNA (98 nucleotides) under unclassified sequences. RNAcentral describes it as "DUF3577 RNA". It matches the Rfam family "DUF3577 RNA". The record is from RNAcentral.
CGGACCAUAAGGCAGUACACUGCCGAAAUCGUCUGCAAUCCGGUCAGCAUCACGCAUAUGGUGUGACGAUUCUUCAAAUGCUGCUUCGCAGCACCUCA